AGUGAACGCUGGCGGUAGGCCUAACACAUGCAAGUCGAACGGCAGCACAGUAAGAGCUUGCUCUUACGGGUGGCGAGUGGCGGACGGGUGAGGAAUACAUCGGAAUCUACUUUUUCGUGGGGGAUAACGUAGGGAAACUUACGCUAAUACCGCAUACGACCUACGGGUGAAAGCAGGGGAUCUUCGGACCUUGCGCGAUUGAAUGAGCCGAUGUCGGAUUAGCUAGUUGGCGGGGUAAAGUCCCACCAAGGCGACGAUCCGUAGCUGGUCUGAGAGGAUGAUCGGCCACACGGGACCUAGGCCACGGUCCAGACUCCUACGGGAGGCAGCAGUGGGGAAUAUUGGACAAUGGGCGCAAGCCUGAUCCAGCCAGACCGCGUGGGUGAAGAAGGCCUUCGGGUUGUAAAGCCCUUUUGUUGGGAAAGAAAAGCAGCAGGUUAAUACCCCGCUGUUCUGACGGUACCCAAAGAAUAAGCACCGGCAAACUUCGU
RNAcentral lists this ribosomal RNA (491 nucleotides) under uncultured bacterium. Its description in RNAcentral is "partial 16S ribosomal RNA". It matches the Rfam family "Bacterial small subunit ribosomal RNA", at positions 29 to 506 of the family's 1533-position model. The record is from RNAcentral.